UGAACAAUUCAUACACGUCAU
Molecule: non-coding RNA, 21 nt
Filed under: Caenorhabditis elegans
Lineage: Eukaryota; Metazoa; Nematoda; Chromadorea; Rhabditida; Rhabditidae
Source: RNAcentral